RNAcentral lists this ribosomal RNA (529 nucleotides) under uncultured euryarchaeote. RNAcentral's name for it is "bacterial SSU rRNA". It matches the Rfam family "Archaeal small subunit ribosomal RNA", at positions 24 to 561 of the family's 1478-position model. The record is from RNAcentral. Lineage: Archaea; Methanobacteriati; Methanobacteriota.
UCACUGCUAUCGGGGUUCGAUUAAGCCAUGCGAGUCGAGAGGGUUCGGCCCUCGGCGUACUGCUCAGUAACACGUGGAUAACCUGCCCUAAGGAAGGGGAUAACCUCGGGAAACUGAGGAUAAUACCCUAUAGGAUACCGAUGCUGGAAUGCCCGGUAUCCCAAAGCUCCGGCGCCUUAGGAUGGAUCUGCGGCCGAUUAGGUCGUUGUUGGGGUAACGGCCCAACAAGCCGAUAAUCGGUACGGGUUGUGGGAGCAAGAGCCCGGAGUUGGAUUCUGAGACACGAAUCCAGGCCCUACGGGGCGCAGCAGGCGCGAAACCUUUACAAUGCGGGCAACCGUGAUAAGGGAACCUCGAGUGCCUGUAAACGCAGGCUGUUCAGGUGUUUAAAACGCACCUGGAGAAAGGGCCGGGCAAGACCGGUGCCAGCCGCCGCGGUAAUACCGGCGGCUCGAGUGGUGGCCGCUUUUAUUGGGCUUAAAGCGUUCGUAGCUGGGUUGUUAAGUCUCUUGGGAAAUCUGGCGGCUUA